RNAcentral lists this long non-coding RNA (2294 nucleotides) under Bos grunniens (domestic yak). RNAcentral's name for it is "lncRNA (ENSBGRG00000022159.1)". Lineage: Eukaryota; Metazoa; Chordata; Mammalia; Artiodactyla; Bovidae. The record is from RNAcentral.
GGAGUGCCACAAGAAUUCACAACGAUUUGUCAAGGAUAAGAAGUAUACUUCCUUUAAUUACGAGUUCUCUUUAACCAAAAUAAGAGUAAAAGCCUUUAGGAGUGCUUGUUAAUUAAAAUAACAAUUUGGCCAUGGGCUAUGUAAAUCUUCAGUGAGGACGGACUUGGUGGCAAGUGGUUGGUGGGGACACCAAAGCUGAAGCAAGUGAGCCAGGCUGGCUGAGGGCUUCAUGGGGAAGUACAGACGUCGCGGUUUUGUUGAAGUGCUCAUGACUUGUUCGCGUGUCUUACUCAUGCUUCCAACACCCCAGGGAGGCAGGUACCAGGCCAGCUUGAAAUCUAAGGCUGCUGGAGUUGAGAGUGCGUGAGGUGAGUAACAAAGCUGUCACCAGACGCAGGUUUUCCUGACCCCAAGCUCACGGUUCUUUCUAGAAAUUUGGGUCUCUGCUUGGCUUACUGUGUGUGUAUUCGAAGCCUUGAGCGCCCUUCUGGAAAUACAGAAGGUUCCUGCACUCCACCUGGGAACUUUGGGAUCAGAGUCCCCAGACUGUCAAAUGUUCCGCCCGUUCUCCCCAUGCCACCAUGCACAGCACCAGGGAUGACCGUGGUGCACAGUCAGGUGGGGACCCUCCCUCCACACAUUCCUUUCUGGCCACCUGCCCAGGUGUUACAUUUCUUCAUCUGCUCUGCAGGCCGCCACCUGGGCUUGAGUUUGAUCAGACCAAAGAGCCAGGACUGGCACAGGUGCUAAGAGCACCUCUGCUCCUCCUCUCUGGUCCUUGGCAUUACCACCCGCACGUCCAGGACCAAGACCACCAGGGACAGGGUGGCCAGGCCUAACCGCGAGCGUGAGUGCAAACCAAGUGCAGGUUCAGGAGCUUGCCCUCUCCCCAUGGUCCAGAUGUGACGGGAACUUUCUAGUGCCCAGAACGCCCCUGAUACUCUCCACUUGCUCCUGGAAUUAUACUCAGGGAUGUAGUGAGAGCAGUGCCAACAUCAGCACCAAAGGCAACUUGCCUUCCUAGUCAAAACUUGAAGAUAACAAAUGACAACAACCAGCGCACGGAACAAGUCUGAGCGUCAUGGUGGGCGUGCCUGAGGGGGUGUGGUUCAACAAGGGCUCCAACCCCCUAAACCUGGUGGGAGCUGGGAGGUGCCAGUGGGCUCCACUUAACGCGGAUAGCAGUAACACCAACUAUCAUGUCAGGAAGUCCUGUAAACGCAUUUCAUCUCUUCACCACAGCCUUGGUAGGGAACCGUUCCACUGAGGGUCUAGAGUGCUCCAGUGACUUCUAAGUCACACCAGCAGUCAGACAUGAAUUCUAGGCCUUCUGAGUGUCAGCCUUAAGCUCACUUUCCUCAUCAGUGGAUCCCAGAGAUGGGCAGAGAGUUAGAAACUCAACAACUACGGUCAUUUACUGUUUGACUGAGCUGAGAAGGUUUAAACAGAGAAAUUAGGACGGUGUGAACUUAACAGAACUAGAGGGUAGAUACCCAUUCAGAUUUUGCAAUCUGACCACAUCAGAAGGUCGGGACACCCACAUCCUCUGUGGCUGUCGCUGUUUUGUGCUUACCCAGAAGCUGUUUCUCCCACUCCUCUCUCGCUAACAGAACUCUUAAGGCAGCAGAACGCCCAGGGACCGUCAUGCUGAACUGGGGAAAUCCAGGCCCUUUUCGCCAGAUUCCUGUUUUUGCCUUUGUCCCUGGACUGGAUUGUUUCAGCCACAGAGACAUAAAAGGCCCCUGAUCACCUGCUUCCUUCCUGCCUGCCUUCUGUAUGUUUUGCAAGGACCCACGAAUGCUGCCUUGUAAGAAAAAGGUCUUUACAUGAACCCCAAUGUUCAUUGCAGCACUAUUUACAAGAGCCAGGACAUGGAAGCAACCUAGGUGUUCAUCGGCAGAUGAAGAGAUAAGGAAUUGUAGUACACAAUGGAAUAUUACUCAGCUUUAAAAAGAACACAUUUGAGUCAGUCUAAUGAGGUGGAUGAACCUGAGCCUAUUAUAGAGAGUGAAGUAAGUCAGAAAAAAGACAAAUAUUGUAUAUUAAUGUAUAUAUAUGGAAUUUAGUAAGAUGGUACUGACAAUCCUACAUGCAGGGCAGCAAAGGAGACACAGAGGUAAAGAAUAGAGUUUUGGACUCAGUGGGAGAAGGUGAGGGUAGGAUGAUUUGAAAGAAGAGCAUUGAAACGUGUACAUUACCACAUGUAAAAUACACAACCAGGGUGAGUUCCGAUGCUUGAAGCAGGACACCCAAAGCCAGUGUUUGGGCCAACCCAGAGGGCUGGGGUGGGGAGG